This is an RNA transcript of Lacerta agilis (Sand lizard), 5684 nucleotides long. It is a transcript of the gene named ATPase sarcoplasmic/endoplasmic reticulum Ca2+ transporting 2, with no coding region annotated. The transcript is spliced from 21 exons. Lineage: Eukaryota; Metazoa; Chordata; Lepidosauria; Squamata; Lacertidae. The record is from RefSeq and is a predicted model, not a curated record.
UACUGCCUGCUUCUGCUGCUACGAAGAAGGAAGAGGAAGAGAGGCAGCGAAGGAAGGCGAGGGAAACACGAGCGAGGCACCAUUUGCUGCUGCUGCUGCUGCUGCUGCUCCGCCGGCCUCAGCCAUGGAGAACGCGCACACGAAGACCGUGGAGGAAGUUUUGGCUUAUUUCGGUGUCAACGAGAGCACCGGGCUCAGCUUGGAGCAGGUCAAGAAGCUCAAGGAGAGAUGGGGCGCCAACGAGCUACCAGCUGAAGAAGGAAAAACUUUACUUGAGCUUGUGAUCGAACAGUUUGAAGAUUUAUUAGUUAGAAUUUUGUUGUUGGCAGCGUGUAUAUCAUUUGUGUUGGCCUGGUUUGAAGAAGGUGAAGAAACAAUCACAGCCUUUGUAGAGCCUUUUGUAAUCUUACUCAUAUUGGUAGCCAAUGCAAUUGUGGGUGUGUGGCAGGAAAGAAAUGCUGAAAAUGCCAUUGAAGCUCUUAAAGAAUAUGAACCUGAAAUGGGUAAAGUGUAUAGACAAGACAGAAAAAGUGUACAAAGGAUAAAAGCAAGAGACUUGGUCCCAGGUGAUAUCGUGGAAGUAGCUGUUGGCGAUAAGGUUCCUGCUGACAUAAGAAUUACUUCUAUAAAAUCCACAACUCUGAGGGUAGACCAGUCAAUUCUCACAGGUGAAUCUGUGUCUGUAAUUAAGCACACGGACCCUGUGCCUGAUCCUCGUGCAGUGAACCAAGACAAGAAAAACAUGCUCUUUUCUGGUACGAACAUUGCUGCAGGGAAAGCUAUGGGUGUGGUUGUGGCAACUGGCGUGAACACUGAAAUUGGCAAAAUUCGUGAUGAAAUGGUGGCUACUGAGCAGGAGAGGACCCCGCUUCAGCAGAAGCUGGACGAGUUUGGAGAGCAGCUGUCAAAGGUCAUCUCCCUGAUUUGCAUUGCUGUGUGGAUAAUCAACAUCGGUCACUUCAAUGAUCCUGUCCAUGGUGGCUCCUGGAUUCGGGGUGCCAUCUACUAUUUCAAAAUUGCUGUGGCACUUGCUGUGGCUGCAAUCCCAGAGGGCCUGCCUGCUGUCAUUACCACUUGCUUGGCUCUGGGUACUCGCCGAAUGGCAAAGAAGAAUGCUAUUGUUCGAAGCCUGCCAUCUGUGGAAACCCUGGGCUGCACUUCCGUAAUCUGUUCAGACAAGACUGGAACUCUUACCACCAACCAGAUGUCAGUUUGCAGGAUGUUCGUUGUGGACCGAGUGGAAGGAGAUAGCUGUUCUCUGAAUGAAUUUACAGUGUCUGGCUCAACAUACGCCCCCGUAGGAGAAGUGCAUAAAGAUGAUAAACUUAUCAAAUGCUGUCAGUAUGAUGGCCUUAUAGAAUUGGCAACAAUCUGUGCCCUUUGCAACGAUUCUUCUCUGGAUUUCAAUGAGGCUAAAGGAGUGUAUGAAAAGGUUGGUGAAGCCACAGAGACUGCCCUCACAUGUCUGGUGGAGAAGAUGAAUGUGUUUGACACAGAGUUGAAAGGACUGUCCAGAAUUGAACGGGCGAACGCUUGCAACUCGGUGAUAAAGCAACUCAUGAAGAAAGAGUUCACCCUUGAAUUCUCAAGGGAUAGAAAGUCCAUGUCGGUGUACUGCACUCCAAACAAGCCCAGCCGGACUGCUAUGAGCAAGAUGUUCGUUAAGGGUGCUCCCGAAGGAGUAAUUGACAGGUGUACACACAUCCGGGUUGGCAGCACUAAAGUGCCAUUGACACCAGGAAUUAAGCAGAAGCUCAUGAGCGUCAUCCGAGAGUGGGGCACAGGCCGAGAUACCCUGCGCUGCUUGGCUUUAGCAACACACGACAAUCCACUAAGAAGGGAAGACAUGAAAUUAGAGGAUUCUGCAAAUUUCAUUACUUACGAGACCAAUUUGACAUUUGUUGGCUGUGUGGGGAUGCUGGAUCCCCCACGAAUUGAAGUGGCGUCAUCCAUAAAGUUGUGUCGGAAAGCUGGUAUUCGUGUGAUUAUGAUAACAGGGGAUAACAAGGGGACAGCAGUGGCCAUCUGUCGUCGUAUUGGCAUCUUUGGGGAAGACGAAGAUGUCACCACGAGAGCCUUUACAGGGCGUGAGUUUGAUGAACUUUCCCCAGCUGCCCAGAGGGACGCUUGCCUAAAUGCGCGCUGCUUUGCCCGUGUGGAGCCUUCCCAUAAGUCUAAGAUUGUUGAGUUUCUCCAGUCUUUUGAUGAGAUCACAGCUAUGACUGGAGAUGGUGUAAAUGAUGCCCCAGCACUGAAGAAAGCAGAGAUUGGCAUUGCUAUGGGGUCAGGCACUGCGGUGGCAAAAACAGCUUCAGAAAUGGUGCUGGCUGACGACAACUUCUCGACCAUUGUAGCAGCUGUGGAAGAGGGACGUGCAAUCUACAAUAACAUGAAACAAUUCAUUCGCUACCUCAUCUCCUCCAAUGUUGGAGAGGUUGUUUGUAUCUUCCUGACUGCUGCCUUGGGUUUCCCUGAAGCUUUAAUUCCUGUGCAGCUGUUGUGGGUGAACCUUGUGACUGAUGGACUCCCUGCCACUGCUCUGGGAUUCAACCCCCCUGAUCUUGACAUCAUGGACAAACCACCUCGCAAUCCCAAAGAGCCCUUGAUCUCUGGGUGGCUCUUCUUCCGCUACUUGGCCAUUGGAUGCUACGUUGGAGCUGCUACGGUGGGAGCUGCUGCUUGGUGGUUUAUUGCUGCUGAUGGUGGCCCAAGAAUUACCUACUACCAGCUGAGCCAUUUUCUGCAGUGCAAAGAGGACAAUCCAGAAUUUGAAGGUGUUGACUGUGUGGUCUUUGAGUCUCCAUACCCUAUGACAAUGGCACUUUCCGUCUUGGUUACUAUAGAGAUGUGUAAUGCACUCAACAGCCUGUCAGAGAACCAGUCCUUGUUGCGGAUGCCUCCUUGGGAGAACGUCUGGCUGCUGGGUUCCAUUUGCUUGUCCAUGUCUCUUCACUUCCUUAUCCUCUACGUGGAGCCACUGCCACUGAUCUUCCAGAUCACACCUCUGAAUCUGACCCAGUGGCUGAUGGUGUUGAAAAUCUCGCUACCUGUCAUCCUGCUGGACGAGACACUUAAAUUUGUGGCCCGUACCUACCUAGAGCCUGGUAAAGAUAGUGUGCCGCCUGCCACCAAGCCACGCUCUUUGUCCGCAUGCACCGAAGGGGUUUCCUGGCCGUUUGUGUUCAUUACCCUACCCUUGGUUAUUUGGCUGUAUAGCACAGACACUAACUUUAGCGACAUGUUCUUGUCUUGACCUGAAGAGAUAACAGUUUGACAGAGAGAUGUUUAACUUAAAUCAAUUUUUUUAUUGUUUAAAGCAAUUGUCUUAUUCUGCUGAAUUUUCACAUGAACAUAUUUGCCGGUGUCUGAGGUUCCAUAUUCUAUGCCAGCCCUUCCCCAUCCCGGUGCCCUCCAGAUACCUGCUGUUACAACUCCCCUCAGCCACAGCCAGCCCACCUGUGCUAGCUAGGACCAAUGGGAGUUGUAUCCCCGACAUCUGGGAGGGGCACCAGGUCAUGGAAGGGCUGAUCUAGACGUUUUGGGUUUUUUUCUUUUACUUCCCCUGACCCGACUCCAGUGGGGGAGUAGCAUUUCUCCCCACCCCCUUUUAUACACAUCUAGGGUGUCCAUUGACAUGUACAGAGAAAUUUAACACUAUUUUAUGCAAAUAUUUUUUGUAGAGGAGAAGCAUGUACAGUGUUCUGUUUAAUAGUCAACUCAUCCUUGUAAAAACAAACAAAAAAGUGCUUUGUGGGGGGAGUGCCAGUGGACACUAUAUUGAGCAAACUGUAAUUGGUAGCAGAUUUUAGGGAAUGAAUGUUCUUGUGUGUGUUUUCUUAAACUAAAAAGCAUGCAAUUGUUUAUGUCUUCUGCAUGGUCAUCUAAUCUUAAUUUGUCAUUCAGCUGGUUUUUUCUGCACUGGGCAGAUGUAUACUGCUACCUCAGUAUCUACCCCCCCUUUUUUGCCCUUUCCAAUAUUUUUAAAUAACAACUGAAUCUUGUUUACACCUGUAUUUGUAAGAGGUAUGCUUAUUUUUGCUGGUGCAGAAAAUACCACUCCAGGGGCAACCUAUUACUGUUCUCCCCCGCAACCCACCCCCCAUCACAUGUAGAUUUUUUUUAAAAAAAAAAAAUUAUUUAUUUAAAUAUCUUAUGUAUUUUUAUUGUAACAGCAUUUUCACCAGCAUUGCCCACUUUGGGAUGGUGGGGGAGGAGCAGGAAAGGUAAAAGGCUACCUGGAUAGACUUAAGGCAAAACAAAAAAUAAAAAAUAAACUUUUUUUUAAUUGAGAAAAUUUUGUUUCUCAUUUCAUUUAUACCUUGGAGGCUGCUCCAUUUUAAUUAGCAAAAUCCAUGCAUCAAUAUUUUUGUGUUCAGUUUUUUUUUAAUUGGGGGCAUUCAUAAUGGGACCUGGAAACAAAGGACUUGCAUUUGCACAGCUGGAGUUCUCACGGGGUCUUUCUUUGGUUAGGUCUCUUAACUCUCAGUGCCACAUCUUGGGAUAUAGUCUGCUGGCCACAUCUUACCCUGAAGUGGCAAAGUAACAAAUUUGUGUGUGUGUGCGUGUGCGUGUUACGUCUCUGUGUGUGUUUUUGUAAAAUCUGUAAAUACCACAUGACCAAAUGAACAUAUUGUAUAGAACUAUUUUUAUUUUUAAUGUGGCACUAACCACCAUCAUUCUAUUGCGAUAAAUGUUACCGCAUGUUGUGUUUCCCCCCUCCAAAUUGAGUCCUGUAUCAACAAUGUGUAAGUUCAUUAACAGUCCUAACUGUGUGGUGUUUCUCUCCAAUGCCUUCCAACAUUCAUCGACUGAACAAAACUGGAGUAAUCACUUAGUCCUAGACAAAUUUUGCAGAAUUGUAAGGUUAAUUUUCUUGCAUGCGUCUUUAGGAACGCAUCUACCGAAAACAUCUGCAUGAGUCUUGUAAAUGGGAAAAUAAAAAUCUCUCCUUGGGGAGGGAGAAAAAAAUAGAACUGAAAACUCGUGUUCCACGAAGGAAGUGUGUGGUGCUCUUAAAAAGCUUCAGUUUAUAUACAGAUCUACCAAUGUGCAAUAUGGUUUUUAACUGAUAAAACAGACCUCUGCGAAGAAGUUUUGGGGUUGCAUGAAGACAAGUCUCCCUAAACUGCUAAGCAAGAAUUAAUGAGUGGUGAUUCGCCAAGUUUUUCUUUUCUUUCCAUACUUCGUUGUGUAAAAUGUCAUAGUUUAUAAAAUGUACAAUAUUGGACUGUAAUGCAUGCUUUUCAGUUGUAAGUAGCUGAUAAUCUCUAUUGUAUCUCAACAUAACACUUAAAAACAGCUCUGUACAAUAUGCAAUUCUAUUUAUACAGGUUCGUUGACAACGGUACUAUUGCUGAACGUUUAAGAAACUGUUAAACCUUCAAUUCCAUAACUUCAGCUUAAAAAAAAUAUCUUGGAGUGUGCAGAUAGGUCUAUUUUGCACUGUAAUAAUGUAACUUAUUUAAAUCUAAAGCCGUAGACACACACCAGUGCAAUACACAUGUUGUGGUGCGUUUUAUCUUAACAACAAAAGCCUAAUAAUGAACCUAGUUCAUAAAACAGCAUGUGUGACCUUUUUUCUUUGUUAGAAGUUGUAAAUAACAUUGUCUGAUUCAAUGCUGAUGGUGACAAGCAUCACACCUGCCAUCCUGGUUUCAGGUAAAAUAAACUUAUUCUAUGAUACA